GGACACCUGAAGGAUGAGAGACCUCUGUUCAGAAAUGGUUCUUUCGAAAUGGAUUCACACCAGGACUCUGACAGAAUUUCAGAACUAGCUUCAAACAAUUCGAACGAGUUGCCCCCACUACCAGAGGGUUCUCCACCAUUGCCUAUUGAUUCUCCUCCUCCACCCCCACCUUUGCCUCCUUCACCGCCCCCACCACCACCUCCUCCAUUAUCUCCAUCACCUCCACCGCCUCCACCUCCUUUUCCGUCACAGCUGCCCCCACUUCCUCCACCACCUGCAGGGCCACCUCCACCUACAGGCCCUCCUCCACCUGCAGGGCCUCCUCCACCUACAGUCCAUCCACCACCUAUGGGGCCUCCACCAUCUACGGGUCCUCCACCACCUAUGGGGCCUCCACCAUCUACGGGUCCUCCACCACCUAUGGGGCCUCCACCUCCAAUGGGCCCUCCACCUAGGGGUCCUCCACCGCUUAUGGGUCCUCCACCACCGACGGGGCCUCCACCACCCACAGGCCCUCCACCACCAAGGGGUCCACCACCUAUUGGGCCUCCACCACCUGCAGGGCCCCCACUACCUCCAGGCCCUCCACCCCCUCCUGGUCCCCCACCCCCUGCAAGCCAGCACCUACCUACAGGUCCUCCACCAUCACUGCUUUCUCAACCACCACUACCUCCUACACCGCAACUGCCACCUCCACCACAGUUACCACCUCCACCGCAACUACAACCUCAACCGCAACUACCACCUCAACCUCCAUUACUGCCACCUCAACCAUCACUACAGUCUUCACCCCAGUUAGCAUAUCAACCAC
RNAcentral lists this long non-coding RNA (811 nucleotides) under Vitis vinifera (wine grape). RNAcentral describes it as "long non-coding RNA (VVIN_LNC000024)". The record is from RNAcentral. Lineage: Eukaryota; Viridiplantae; Streptophyta; Magnoliopsida; Vitales; Vitaceae.